Molecule: ribosomal RNA, 301 nt
Filed under: uncultured bacterium
Lineage: Bacteria
Description: partial 16S ribosomal RNA
Rfam family: Bacterial small subunit ribosomal RNA
Source: RNAcentral
CAGUAGCCGCGGUAAUACAGAGGGUGCGAGCGUUAAUCGGAUUUACUGGGCGUAAAGCGUGCGUAGGCGGCUAAUUGAGUCGGAUGUGAAAUCCCCGAGCUUAACUUAGGAAUUGCAUUCGAUACUGGGAAGCUAGAGUAUGGGAGAGGAUGGUAGAAUUCCAGGUGUAGCGGUGAAAUGCGUAGAGAUCUGGAGGAAUACCGAUGGCGAAGGCAGCCAUCUGGCCUAAUACUGACGCUGAGGUACGAAAGCAUGGGGAGCAAACAGGAUUAGAUACCCGGGUAGUCCCUGUCUCUUAUAC